Molecule: small RNA, 845 nt
Filed under: Pan troglodytes (chimpanzee)
Lineage: Eukaryota; Metazoa; Chordata; Mammalia; Primates; Hominidae
Description: retained intron
Source: RNAcentral
GAAUCAUCUGAGACUUCAAGAAGAUUCAUCCAGUCUGUUCUGUUGCUUUCAGCUUCAGAAGGAGAGGAAGUUCCUCAAGACAAGGCGCCAAGUCAUGUUCCUUUCCUGCUAAUUGGUGGAGGCACAGCUGCUUUUGCUGCAGCCAGAUCCAUCCGGGCUCGGGAUCCUGGGGCCAGGGUACUGAUUGUAUCUGAAGAUCCUGAGCUGCCGUACAUGCGACCUCCUCUUUCAAAAGAACUGUGGUUUUCAGAUGACCCAAAUGUCACAAAGACACUGCGAUUCAAACAGUGGAAUGGAAAAGAGAGAAGCAUAUAUUUCCAGCCACCUUCUUUCUAUGUCUCUGCUCAGGACCUGCCUCAUAUUGAGAAUGGUGGUGUGGCCGUCCUCACUGGGAAGAAGGUAGUACAGCUGGAUGUGAGAGACAACAUGGUGAAACUUCAUGAUGGCUCUCAAAUAACCUAUGAAAAGUGCUUGAUUGCAACAGGAGGUACUCCAAGAAGUCUGUCUGCCAUUGAUAGGGCUGGAGCAGAGGUGAAGAGUAGAACAACGCUUUUCAGAAAGAUUGGAGACUUUAGAAGCUUGGAGAAGAUUUCACGGGAAGUCAAAUCAAUUACGAUUAUCGGUGGGGGCUUCCUUGGUAGCGAACUGGCCUGUGCUCUUGGCAGAAAGGCUCGAGCCUUGGGCACAGAAGUGAUUCAACUCUUCCCCGAGAAAGGAAAUAUGGGAAAGAUCCUCCCCGAAUACCUCAGCAACUGGACCAUGGAAAAAGUCAGACGAGAGGGGGUUAAGGUGAUGCCCAAUGCUAUUGUGCAAUCCGUUGGAGUCAGCAGUGGCAAGUUACUUAU